CCUACGGGUGGCUGCAGUGGGGAAUAUUGCACAAUGGGCGCAAGCCUGAUGCAGCCACGCCGCGUGUGUGAAGAAGGCCUUCGGGUUGUAAAGCACUUUCAGCGGGGAGGAAGGCGGUGAGGUUAAUAACCUCAUCGAUUGACGUUACCCGCAGAAGAAGCACCGGCUAACUCCGUGCCAGCAGCCGCGGUAAUACGGAGGGUGCAAGCGUUAAUCGGAAUUACUGGGCGUAAAGCGCACGCAGGCGGUCUGUCAAGUCGGAUGUGAAAUCCCCGGGCUCAACCUGGGAACUGCAUUCGAAACUGGCAGGCUAGAGUCUUGUAGAGGGGGGUAGAAUUCCAGGUGUAGCGGUGAAAUGCGUAGAGAUCUGGAGGAAUACCGGUGGCGAAGGCGGCCCCCUGGACAAAGACUGACGCUCAGGUGCGAAAGCGUGGGGAGCAAACAGGAUUAGAUACCCUAGUAGUC
RNAcentral lists this ribosomal RNA (465 nucleotides) under uncultured Klebsiella sp. RNAcentral describes it as "bacterial SSU rRNA". It matches the Rfam family "Bacterial small subunit ribosomal RNA", at positions 338 to 795 of the family's 1533-position model. The record is from RNAcentral. Lineage: Bacteria; Pseudomonadati; Pseudomonadota; Gammaproteobacteria; Enterobacterales; Enterobacteriaceae.